CUNGGUCGUAACUGCUUUUUGGGGAAANUUCUGAUUNUACCNUAAGAAUAAGCACCGGCAAAUCACGUGCCAGCAGCCGCGGUAAUACGNGGAGGUGCAAACGUUACCCGGGAAUUAUUGGGCGUAAAGCGUCCGCAGGUGGCGUAGUAAGUUGGAUGUUAAAUCUUGAAGCUCAACUUCAAGUCUGUGUUCAAAACUACUAUGCUAGAGAUUAGGAGAGGUGAGUGGAAUUUCUGCAUGUAGGGGUAAAAUCCGUAGAUAUGCAGAGGAACACCAAAAGCGAAGGCAGCUCACUGGCCUAUAUCUGACACUCAUGGACGAAAGCGUAGGUAGCAAACGGGAUUAGAUACCCCGGUAGUCUACGCUGUAAACGAUGAUCACUCGAUGUCGGGAGUUCGACCCUCUCGGUGUCUAAGCAAACGCGAUAAGUGAUCCGCCUGAGAAGUACGAUCGCAAGAUUAAAACUCAAAGGAAUAGACGGGGACCCACACAAGCGGUGGAGCGUGUGGUUUAAUUCGAUAGUAAGCGAGGAACCUUACCAGGGUUUGACAUCUCGGGAAUUUUCUGGAAACAGAGAAGUGCCGUAAGGAACCCGAUGACAGGUGCUGCAUGGUUGUCGUCAGCUCGUGCCUUGAGGUGUUCGGUUAAGUCCGUAAACGAGCGCAACCCACGUCCUUAGUUGUAUUUUUCUAAGGAGACUGCCUUGCAUAACAAGGAGGAAGGUGUGGAUGACGUCAAAUCAGCAUGGCCCUUAUACUCUGGGCGACACACGCGCUACAAUGGCCGGUACAACGGGCAGCCAAGGAGUGAUCCGGAGCGAAUCCCUAAAACCGGUCCAAGUUCGGAUUGAAGGCUGCAACUCGCCUUCAUGAAGCUGGAAUCGCUAGUAAAUGUGUAUCAGCCACGGCGCAUUGAAUAUGUUCCUGGGUCUUGUACUCACCGCCCGUCAAGUCAUGAAAGUUAGGGGUGCCCGAAGUUCCCACUCAGUGGGGCCUAAGGCAAAACUAAUGAUUGGGACUAAGUCGUAACAAGGUAGC
This 1037-nucleotide ribosomal RNA is filed under the name uncultured bacterium. Its description in RNAcentral is "bacterial SSU rRNA". It matches the Rfam family "Bacterial small subunit ribosomal RNA", at positions 418 to 1500 of the family's 1533-position model. The record is from RNAcentral.